RNAcentral lists this microRNA (18 nucleotides) under Xenopus laevis (African clawed frog). RNAcentral describes it as "xla-miR-5143". Lineage: Eukaryota; Metazoa; Chordata; Amphibia; Anura; Pipidae. The record is from RNAcentral.
AACUAGUACAUGCAGCAC